GACGAACGCUGGCGGCGUGCCUAAUACAUGCAAGUAGAACGCUGAAGAGAGGAGCUUGCUCUUCUUGGAUGAGUUGCGAGCGGGUGAGUAACGCGUGGGUAACCUGCCUUGUAGCGGGGGAUAACUAUUGGAAACGAUAGCUAAUACCGCAUAACAAUGGAUGACACAUGUCAUUUAUUUGAAAGGGGCAAUUGCUCCACUACAAGAUGGACCUGCGUUGUAUUAGCUAGUAGGUGAGGUAACGGCUCACCUAGGCGACGAUACAUAGCCGACCUGAGAGGGUGAUCGGCCACACUGGGACUGAGACACGGCCCAGACUCCUACGGGAGGUAGCAGUAGGGAAUCUUCGGCAAUGGGGGCAACCCUGACCGAGCAACGCCGCGUGAGUGAAGAAGGUUUUCGGAUCGUAAAGCUCUGUUGUAAGUCAAGAACGAGUGUGAGAGUGGAAAGUUCACACUGUGACGGUAGCUUACCAGAAAGGGACGGCUAACUACGUGCCAGCAGCCGCGGUAAUACGUAGGUCCCGAGCGUUGUCCGGAUUUAUUGGGCGUAAAGCGAGCGCAGGCGGUUUGAUAAGUCUGAAGUUAAAGGCUGUGGCUCAACCAUAGUUCGCUUUGGAAGCUGUCAAACUUGAGUGCAGAAGGGGAGAGUGGAAUUCCAUGUGUAGCGGUGAAAUGCGUAGAUAUAUGGAGGAACACCGGUGGCGAAAGCGGCUCUCUGGUCUGUAACUGACGCUGAGGCUCGAAAGCGUGGGGAGCGAACAGGAUUAGAUACCCUGGUAGUCCACGCCGUAAACGAUGAGUGCUAGGUGUUGGAUCCUUUCCGGGAUUCAGUGCCGCAGCUAACGCAUUAAGCACUCCGCCUGGGGAGUACGACCGCAAGGUUGAAACUCAAAGGAAUUGACGGGGGCCCGCACAAGCGGUGGAGCAUGUGGUUUAAUUCGAAGCAACGCGAAGAACCUUACCAGGCCUUGACAUCCCGAUGCUAUUUCUAGAGAUAGAAAGUUACUUCGGUACAUCGGUGACAGGUGGUGCAUGGUUGUCGUCAGCUCGUGUCGUGAGAUGUUGGGUUAAGUCCCGCAACGAGCGCAACCCCUAUUGUUAGUUGCCAUCAUUCAGUUGGGCACUCUAGCGAGACUGCCGGUAAUAAACCGGAGGAAGGUGGGGAUGACGUCAAAUCAUCAUGCCCCUUGUGACCUGGGCUACACACGUGCUACAAUGGUUGGUACAACGAGUUGCGAGUCGGUGACGGCAAGCUAAUCUCUUAAAGCCAAUCUCAGUUCGGAUUGUAGGCUGCAACUCGCCUACAUGAAGUCGGAAUCGCUAGUAAUCGCGGAUCAGCACGCCGCGGUGAAUACGUUCCCGGGCCU
This 1369-nucleotide ribosomal RNA is filed under the name uncultured bacterium. RNAcentral describes it as "bacterial SSU rRNA". It matches the Rfam family "Bacterial small subunit ribosomal RNA", at positions 28 to 1381 of the family's 1533-position model. The record is from RNAcentral.